Long non-coding RNA from Oenanthe melanoleuca, 3438 nucleotides. RefSeq lists it as uncharacterized. The record is from RefSeq and is a predicted model, not a curated record. The transcript is spliced from 3 exons. NCBI's taxonomy places the organism in Eukaryota, Metazoa, Chordata, Aves, Passeriformes, Muscicapidae.
UCCUAAAGGCGGCUGUGGUGCGGUCGGGGCUGAGGAGCUGCGCUGCCCCAGGAGCGGAGCCCGGUGUGUUGGAACUACGAAGUUCGUCAAGGGUCUGGAGAAUCUCACUUGUGAGGGAGAUGGGCCUUAUCAGCCUCGGGAAGAGCUCCUGCUGUGCCUUGGCAUUUACAGUCCAUCUGGACUAACACCUUCAGCAGUUUUUUCUGUGCCCAGCAGACUCUGGACCAGCAGUGACAAGAACAUUAGUUCAUCAACAAGCUAACCAUCACUCACUGUCUACACUGAGAAUGAUGUUGGGCCAGGAAGUGGAGAAGACCAAAGCAGGUAUAUAUAUAUCACUUUAUCCUUGAUGCUGACAGGGCAGAGUGGACAGGGAAAACAUCACUCAUCUUUCCAAACAUGAUUUCAUCCACUGUAAUUGUUUAUAGGAGGACAGGUCUGGAAUAAAACCUGAGUGCCACUUUGGAAGACCUCACGCCUUCUCUGUCAUCAGCAGCUGAGGCAGCCUGAAUGUCAACAUUCCCUUAUUGCAGGGAAUGUGUCCUUAAAAACUCCUUCAGGAAGCAGAGCUCUUCUGCUCCCUCAGACAUGGCCCAUUACAUCAGAGCUCCUGACUGGGCUCCAACGAGCCAAGUGACAGACUCAGACACUGCCAGCCAUACCUGUGCUGCAUUUCUGGGAGGGGAUGUUCCCUCAGCAGGACUGGUGGAUGAGAUGGACACCUAAAUCUGAGGUAAAUCCAAUAGGUUAAUCUGCACUGCCAUAAAAGUGAGGUUAAAGAGUUGGUGGGUAAGUUUAUUUUUACUUAGAGUCCACAGCAUUGCAAGUCUUGGUUUUGGCAGGCUGAAAACACCAUCCUACCUCCAGGAGGGAAAAUUAAAGUCUCUCAUAUUAAGUAGCUUAUAGCAUUAGUCAUGAAUCAAACCCAUUUUAGUAGUAGAAAUUCCAUGAAUUAUUUUAUCAUCUGGUUCUGUUUUAAUUUCUUUGUCUGUAACAACCAUAAUUGAUAAAAUAUACAAUAGCCCUAUGAUGUUCCCACUAGCAUGACUCCAGGAUACAAAUAUUUAAAUGAAGUGUUAAUGCUUUAAAACUCAUAGCAUGAAAAUUACUACAGUUGGGCACAUCAAAGUUGAAUGAACUCUUUUCCCCUUUCUAAAUAUACAGUGGUAUUAGGGGUGUAUUUCUGCUAUUUUCCUUUUAGAAAAUCUAUGGUUUUGACAAAAAUAAUUCCUAAUAUUGACCAUAAGCAGCCAGGAGAUGGUACAUCAUACCAUGGAGAGGAUUUAAUGCUGUAAAGCAGGAUGGGAAUGCAUUAUUCAACAGUAGAAUUCAGAAUUAGUAUAACUGAGGUGCAAUGCCAGCGGAAUCAAGAGAAAUGAAUCCUACUCAUUGCAGUAUGAAAUUUGUCCUAUAGCUUUAGGUCCUCAUGGAAAUUUAACCAUUUGUCUAGUCUCCUUAUUGCUCAGAUACAGCAGCCAGCUUUUCCAUGAGAUUAUUUAAAUGUAGAAUUAUUAGAAAAGUUUGCAGCUACAGAGAUAGAUGGGUUUUACAUAAAAUCCCUGCUCUUUGUAGCAACCCAGUGUGAUAUUGAGAAAGAUAAUGGUCAGAAAAUACAUUGCCAGGCUCCUAAUGAGAAUCUGUUGACAGUAGAAUUACCCCAACAUUCAUCAAAAAGCCAAUAAAUGUCAAGCAAGAGGCCUUUGAUGCAGUGGCUCAUAAUUCCUAUUCAGAAGCCUUUGCAGUCACUUCAGGGCACGCCGCUGUCCUGCAUUUCUGCUGAUUUUACUGAAAACUUUGUUGCUGAAGAAAUACAAGGAGCAGGUGUCAGUAUUCCAAGUGCCACUGCCACAGUGCCAUGGGCUCACUGUGAGACCUCAGGCACAGCACAUUUGGCCUCAAUUUCCCCAUCUGCAAUGCAGGAAUUACAACACAGGAAUUACCCAGAGGCAAUUCUGUGAAGGACACAGUGCUGCCAUCCAAAUGCUCAGAAAUCAUGAGCUAGGUGGUAAAAAACUCUGAUGCUGACUCCUGCCAAUGAGGUAGGCAUAUAUUUUUAAUAUUAACUAAAUUGUUAGUUUAGUCCAGCUUUUUAGGACUUUGUAGGACAUAUUUCCAAGCUCUCUCCUCCACAGCUACAGGAGAUUACUUCAAACCAACCCAAAACUAAUUCUUACCCAGGCUGCUGAAUUCUGGGUUGGAUGGCCUUAAGGAAACUCCAUGAAGUUUAUAUAAAAGCUUACAUAAACUGUUCUUGGGCUCUGUGGAGCACAGAGGGUAUAAAUACCUUGUCCAUUACCCAAGUCCUCUGUUUAGCUCUACUUUCAGUAUAUAUUCCCCAAGUGAUGUGGUGAGGAAGGUCACUGCCUGGUCCAUGAAUUAGAAAUAAUCUUGUGCCAUGUGUUAUUUGUCACUGCUCCCUGGCUUUUCAUUUGCCUUAUUCAUGAGAGCCUGAAGCUACAUCACAAGUGAUAUGAUCAUAUCCUUUAGAUUUUGCCUUUUGUAUAUUUUUUUAAAUUUCCAGGUAAAGGCUCAAAGCCAUUCCUCUAAGGCCUCCAUGGACUCUGAGGCAGUUCAUUCCAUUCAUGCUGGCAAUUCCUUGCUUGCAUAUCAUGACUGGUUUCCAUUCCAGCUGUUCCUGUAUAUAUGGAUAGAAAAUGUGUCCCUGUUGGUCAUUUUUAAGGAUAAGCUGCAUCCUAGAGCUGUAUGCAGAUGGAGUUGCUCUUAGUUUCCAGAGCCACAUGCUGUUAGGGUGACUGCAAACUAGGCUAAUUAGCUGGCAGACUUUGCUGCAGAGAGAUUCUUUAAUAAAAAUGGAGGGGGUGACAAGGGAUAGGCUCCUUGCUAUUUUGGGACAAACUCUUCCCUCAGGCAGUAGAUAACCAUGGUGGUAAGGCUCCCAAUCUAUCAUUUGGUUUGCUGUUUCUUGGCUGUAGUACUUAAUUAACAGUUCUGGAACUGCUCUGUUUCCCAGGAAUAGACUGUAAAUCCAUUAAAUUAAACAAUAAGGGCAGAUGUGGGCAAAAAUAAAAAGCCCAUGCAAGUCAGAAAUGAAAAAUUAAGUUGUUUUGUCAGUCUUCAGGGACUAGUGUGAGAAUGUUAUAAAACCUUCUGAAGCUUUUCUGUCUAGUGUUCAAGCAAGAGGGAAAUGUUCCUGUGGAUGCCAACAUUUUUAGAACUGAUGAUUGCUAAUUAUGAAAGCACUACUGACAGGACAAGGCAGAGUGGUUUGAAAGUGAAAGAGGGUAGGUUUAGAUUGGGAAUUAGGGAGAAAUUCUUUUAUUUGAGGGUGGUGAGGCACUGGAACAGGUUUUCUAGAGAAGCUGUGGAUGCCCCAUCCCUGGAACUUUUCAAGGACAGCCUGAAUAGGGCUCUGAGUAACCUGAUCUAGUGGAAGGUAUCUCUGCCAAGGGGUUUGAAUUAGAUGGUCUUUAAGGUUCC